GGGCCAAUGGAAAGGUCUCAUUCAGCGACUCAUGUUUACGAGAAAUAGUCAAUCAAGCCACAGAUGUAGCCAUUGAGUCAGUGGUAAAAAGAUGGCUACAUCUGGCUCCAGAUAGAGAUGGAGGGAGAAAGGAGAGGGCAAGGAGACAAGAGGAGCUCCAGUGAAAGACUAGAAGAACUGGUAAGAUAUGGAAGAUACGGCCUGAUGUGGAAGAGGAAAUGCAGCUCUACAAACAGGAAAAGUCAUUCCAUUUGAUUCUAAUUUACAGCACAUGGUAGCGGUCACUAAAAAGGAAAUGGUUUAG
This is a long non-coding RNA of Trichomycterus rosablanca, 304 nucleotides long. RefSeq lists it as uncharacterized. The transcript has 3 exons. The record is from RefSeq and is a predicted model, not a curated record. NCBI's taxonomy places the organism in Eukaryota, Metazoa, Chordata, Actinopteri, Siluriformes, Trichomycteridae.